UAUAUUUUAGUAUAAGAGGUAUGUAAGCUUUUGAUGCUUAGGGGGGUAGUUUAAUUCUAUCAAAUAUAG
Molecule: transfer RNA, 69 nt
Filed under: Suhpalacsa longialata
Lineage: Eukaryota; Metazoa; Arthropoda; Insecta; Neuroptera; Myrmeleontidae
Also listed under: 1 other name
Description: tRNA-Gln
Source: RNAcentral